Long non-coding RNA from Cotesia glomerata, 781 nucleotides. RefSeq lists it as uncharacterized. Lineage: Eukaryota; Metazoa; Arthropoda; Insecta; Hymenoptera; Braconidae. The transcript is spliced from 4 exons. The record is from RefSeq and is a predicted model, not a curated record.
UUAAUUUUAUUAUUUUUGCAUUAGGUGAUUAUUCACCACGUUUAUUACUAUUGUUCAAUUAUUUAUAACACUAAGUUUAAUUAUUCUAUCCCUAUAAAUAUUUUGUUAAAUUACAUAACCGAAAUACCACAAGUUUAUAUUAAAAGUGCUUAUUUUGUGUAAUAAAGUUAAGUUUAUUGUUAUCACCGCUAUACACUAUUACUAAACUACCACUAUUCACCUAUCUAUUUACUACGACUAUCUAUCUACAACCUGCCAAAGGGUCAAUCAAAGACGAAGGGUCAUCGUUGCAGUUAAAAUUUGUAAUUUUUUGUUCACAGUUUCAAACAAUUUGAUUGGCUCGAAAAAACUUUUAUCGAUAACGAUUUCGUUUAAAUAGCCUUCAAAAUAACAAAUUUUUAUCCAUUGGUUUCAUUGUCGCUCCGAAGACAACAUCAAAUUCAAUAAUUUUUUUCGAGUGAACUUAAUCAAAUUACGAUAAAAAAUGUCCAAAUUACUUCUUGGGUUAAUGGCUGUCCUGAUGAUCAUGUCACUGACGCAAUUCAUCUUUGUACAAUCCUGUAGACCUACCGGCAGCGAGUGCCUGGAAGGUAGAGAAUGUUGUAAUGGUCAAUGCAUUAACAAGAAUGCGCUUGAUUGGCAAAGGCAACAGCGUUUCGGAUCACAAUUUAUUUGUUCAUGAUCCUAAAGACUAAGAAUAUAAAAAUAACGAAUGAUCAUACUUAACGGAUAAUGGAUUUGUAUUUGAUGCAUCAAUAAAAUAAUCAUAACUAAAUGCAUA